CCCUCACAAUGGCUAUGACUGUCAGUUGCCUGGAGUUAUAUUCAAGGAUUCUCUGAGGCUAAUGGAGUUAUAGUGAUAGUUCCUGGCUUGGGGAC
This 95-nucleotide long non-coding RNA is filed under the name Carlito syrichta (Philippine tarsier). Its description in RNAcentral is "Pvt1 onco conserved region 3 (ENSTSYG00000033411.1)". It matches the Rfam family "Pvt1 oncogene conserved region 3". The record is from RNAcentral. Lineage: Eukaryota; Metazoa; Chordata; Mammalia; Primates; Tarsiidae.